GAGAAAUGUUUCUCCACAGCAAGGUCCUUGGCACCAUCUAAGGACAUUCAGUCGUACAGCACAGAGGCAAGAAUUGGAGGACAGCUGAACAAGGACAGAGAUACACUCAAUGGCUUCCUUAAUUGAGCAAUUUGUGACUUUCAUCGCACUGAUCCUCACUGCAAGGUGAAUUCAACCCCUACAAGCUCAGAAUGAACAAGGCAACUCGAGGCAAAAGGUAUAGCUUACCACAUGCUGCAGUGGUCCUCGUCAUCCUCACACAAGUUUACGACUCCAUCAACAGGAAGGUGCUAUGGAGAAUUCCUUUUUUCGCAAAUUUAUAUUUCCCUGGUCCUCAUUAUCAUUCUCCAUUUGUUACUCCGUGACCUGAAACAAUCGCAGGACAAAUUGGGAAGUUGUGGUGCUUUCAGCACAGAACCAAGACUGAGCCAGCU
Molecule: long non-coding RNA, 434 nt
Organism: Hypanus sabinus (Atlantic stingray)
Lineage: Eukaryota; Metazoa; Chordata; Chondrichthyes; Myliobatiformes; Dasyatidae
Exons: 3
Source: RefSeq, a predicted model, not a curated record